GGCUGGAUAGCUCAGAUGGUAGAGCACUGCAACGAUAAUCCAGGGGCUGCAGGUUCAAACCCUGCUCUAGUCA
Non-coding RNA from Patiria miniata (bat star), 73 nucleotides. The record is from the annotation of a RefSeq genome assembly. NCBI's taxonomy places the organism in Eukaryota, Metazoa, Echinodermata, Asteroidea, Valvatida, Asterinidae.